This 211-nucleotide long non-coding RNA is filed under the name Salvia miltiorrhiza (redroot sage). RNAcentral describes it as "long non-coding RNA (SMIL_LNC011053)". Lineage: Eukaryota; Viridiplantae; Streptophyta; Magnoliopsida; Lamiales; Lamiaceae. The record is from RNAcentral.
CUAACUUUAGAUUCUGAGCACUGUGGUGGACAUCGACAUCCGGCGACCGGUGCGUCGAGAGGUGGCUGUUAUGGCGGCGGCCAAUGGUGCGGCGCAACGGCGACCGGUGCGUGACGUGAGAGGGAGUUGAGCAGAGAGUAAAAGAGAGAGUGUGAAAGAGAAAGCGGCGACCUGUAACUCCGCCUUCGCCGGUGAACUGAGAGGGAGGCCG